CUCUCCGUAGUUCAAUGGAUAGAACGAGCGCCUCCUAAGCGCUAGAUACAGGUUCGAUUCCUGUCGGAGGGACCA
This 75-nucleotide transfer RNA is filed under the name Comamonas terrigena. RNAcentral's name for it is "tRNA-Arg". It matches the Rfam family "tRNA". From Rfam's summary of the family: Transfer RNA (tRNA) molecules are approximately 80 nucleotides in length. Their secondary structure includes four short double-helical elements and three loops (D, anti-codon, and T loops). RNAcentral also lists the same sequence under 19 other names. The record is from RNAcentral. Lineage: Bacteria; Pseudomonadati; Pseudomonadota; Betaproteobacteria; Burkholderiales; Comamonadaceae.